Molecule: ribosomal RNA, 301 nt
Filed under: uncultured bacterium
Lineage: Bacteria
Description: partial 16S ribosomal RNA
Rfam family: Bacterial small subunit ribosomal RNA
Source: RNAcentral
CAGCCGCCACGGGAAUACGUAGGUGGCAAGCGUUGUCCGGAAUUAUUGGGCGUAAAGGGCUCGCAGGCGGUUUCUUAAGUCUGAUGUGAAAGCCCCCGGCUCAACCGGGGAGGGUCAUUGGAAACUGGGAAACUUGAGUGCAGAAGAGGAGAGUGGAAUUCCACGUGUAGCGGUGAAAUGCGUAGAGAUGUGGAGGAACACCAGUGGCGAAGGCGACUCUCUGGUCUGUAACUGACGCUGAGGAGCGAAAGCGUGGGGAGCGAACAGGAUUAGAUACCCCCGUAGUCCCUGUCUCUUAUAA